GUAACGCCUGCCCUGUGGAACCCUAAACGGCCGCGGCAUAAAACCGUGCAAAGGUAGCACAAUCACUUGUCCACUAAAUAAGGACCCGUAUGAAAGGCAACAUGAGAGGAGACCUGUCUCUUGAGGCCCGCCAACGAAAUUGAAUAGUCAGUACAAAAGCUGACAUUUUUAAGCAAGACAAAAAGACCCCGUGGAGCUUUUAACAAAUUAUUAACAACCCUUAAUAAGAGUUUCGGUUGGGACAACCAUAGAAAAACUAAACUUCCAAAUAAACAAGACCAACGAGUCUAGUGUGAUGACCCAGUCAGACUGAUCAAUGAAACAAGCUACCCCGGGGAUAACAGCGCCACCUUCUAGAAGAGCCCAUAUCAACAAGAAGACCUACGACCUCGAUGUUGGAUCA
RNAcentral lists this ribosomal RNA (403 nucleotides) under Brookesia karchei. RNAcentral describes it as "partial large subunit ribosomal RNA". It matches the Rfam family "Bacterial large subunit ribosomal RNA", at positions 1852 to 2539 of the family's 2925-position model. Lineage: Eukaryota; Metazoa; Chordata; Lepidosauria; Squamata; Chamaeleonidae. The record is from RNAcentral.